RNAcentral lists this unclassified non-coding RNA (89 nucleotides) under Pseudomonas synxantha. Lineage: Bacteria; Pseudomonadati; Pseudomonadota; Gammaproteobacteria; Pseudomonadales; Pseudomonadaceae. The record is from RNAcentral.
UGUGGGAGGGGGCUUGCUCCCGAUAGCAGUGUGUCAGGCUGAGCAUCUGUACCUGACCCACUGCUAUCGGGAGCAAGCCCCCUCCCACA